UCCUUUUGCCCUAGAAAUUAAAACGCAUCUUCUUCUUCUUCACGCCUAAGCAUUUUCGAAAUCUCCACCUUCACAUUGUCGUCGCGCUUGAGUUUUUGAAAUCUCCAACUGAAAUCACCGUUCUUGAAGUUGGGGAAGCCCUAUCCCACACCCAUUCUUGACGUGAUUCGAAAUUGGUCUUCACACUCGUUCGAAAUCACCAUUCGAAAUCGCCACCGAAGAUUAAUUCCAUCUCUUCACACUCAAUCUCCGUCUGCCAUCCACCGUGCUUCAAGUCGGGCUCCUUCGAAAAUGUCAUCCAUCGUCGCUUCUCUAUACGAAAACUCCAUCCUUCUUUAUUUAGAGAUUAGAAAUUAAUUCUCAUUCACGUAUGAAGAUAUCUUGAUUUGUGAUUUGAACCUUUUGUAUUUGUAUAGAAGCGACGUAUUGCUCAUGGUGCUUUGGGUUUUUUGGGUUAGAAAUUUGAACCUCACGCAUGAAGAGGUUAGAAAUUAAUUCCUCUUCCCUCUUCACGUAUAAAGUUGGGGAAAGUCCAUAUAUCACAUGGUGCUUUGGGUUCUCCUUACAAAUCCAAUGGAGUUGAUGAUUGAUAUGAGAAGAUACAGAUUGAUAGAAGGAGAUAUGGCUUAUAAGGGACCGUAUUUUCCCUACUGUCACACAGUAGAUGACCGUGAGGGAUACUCUAAACUCUGCACUUGAUGAAGAAAUGUCUGUUGAUCAAAAAAAAAAAAAAAA
This is a long non-coding RNA of Cucumis sativus (cucumber), 735 nucleotides long. RefSeq lists it as uncharacterized. The transcript is spliced from 2 exons. Lineage: Eukaryota; Viridiplantae; Streptophyta; Magnoliopsida; Cucurbitales; Cucurbitaceae. The record is from RefSeq and is a predicted model, not a curated record.